RNAcentral lists this ribosomal RNA (593 nucleotides) under Verrucomicrobiota bacterium. RNAcentral describes it as "Verrucomicrobia bacterium (groundwater metagenome) partial 23S ribosomal RNA". It matches the Rfam family "Bacterial large subunit ribosomal RNA", at positions 2346 to 2925 of the family's 2925-position model. The record is from RNAcentral. Lineage: Bacteria; Pseudomonadati; Verrucomicrobiota.
AGAGCGUAUAAGUAUAAGGGAGCUUAACUGCGAGACUUACAAGUCGAGCAGGUGCGAAAGCAGGCUUAAGUGAUCCGGUGGUUGCAAGUGGUAGCGCCAUCGCUCAACGGACAAAAGGUACUCCGGGGAUAACAGGCUGAUCGCCGCCAAGAGUCCAUAUCGACGCGGCGGUUUGGCACCUCGAUGUCGGCUCAUCGCAUCCUGGGGCUGUAGAAGGUCCCAAGGGUUUGGCUGUUCGCCAAUUAAAGCGGUACGCGAGCUGGGUUCAGAACGUCGUGAGACAGUUCGGUCCUUAUCCACUGUGGGCGCAUGACAUUUGAGGAGAACAUUCCUUAGUACGAGAGGAUCGGGAAUGACGCACCGCUGGUGUUCCAGUUGUCCCGCCAGGGGCAUCGCUGGGUAGCUAUGUGCGGAAUGGAUAAGCGCUGAAAGCAUCUAAGCGCCAAGCCGUCUCCAAGAUUAGAUGUCAAUUCUCGGGUGCGCAAGCAUCCGGGGUGUAGGCCGGUCGAAGACUACGACCUCGAUAGGCUGGGUGUGUAAGCUCCGCGAGGAGUUGAGCUAACCAGUACUAAUCGGCCUAAGGGCUUGACCUU